RNAcentral lists this ribosomal RNA (418 nucleotides) under Metzgeria conjugata. Its description in RNAcentral is "eukaryotic LSU rRNA". The stretch from base 1 to 109 matches the Rfam family "5.8S ribosomal RNA", at positions 46 to 154 of the family's 154-position model. The record is from RNAcentral. Lineage: Eukaryota; Viridiplantae; Streptophyta; Jungermanniopsida; Metzgeriales; Metzgeriaceae.
CAGCGAAAUGCGAUACCUAGUGUGAAUUGCAGAAUUCCGCGAAUCAUCGAGUCUUUGAACGCAAGUUGCGCCCGAGGCUUGUCCCGAGGGCAUGCCUGCCUGAGCGUCACCGCACUCCCACCCGACGCGACGAACCCUCGUCGUGCGUGGAAAUGGCCGUCCGGGGUCGGGCGUCGAUGCCCAGCGCCGCGGUCGGCUGAAAUGGAGCGUUCUGGACGUAGCCGGAGAGGGGGAUUGCGAGAAGGUGAUCCGUCCUCUGGGCGGAGUCUAUUUUGACAGCGUCCCUCGAUCCGGGAGGUCUCACGGAACUCGGAGCGGGAGCUCGCCCGGUCGAUCGCUCGCGGUCGGUCGGGCGAGUCACACCACUGCUUGGACCUCAGAUCAGGCAAGAUUACCCGCUGAGUUUAAGCAUAUCACU